CCUGGUGGUCUUAGCGGAGAGCCUGAACCCGAUCCCAUUCCGAACUCGGCCGUUAAACUUUCCCGCGCCAAUGGUACUAAGUCUCAAGACUUGGAAGAGUAGGUCACUGCCAGGC
Ribosomal RNA from Pseudorhodoplanes sinuspersici, 115 nucleotides. The record is from Rfam. Lineage: Bacteria; Pseudomonadati; Pseudomonadota; Alphaproteobacteria; Hyphomicrobiales.